Molecule: non-coding RNA, 75 nt
Organism: Schistocerca nitens (vagrant locust)
Lineage: Eukaryota; Metazoa; Arthropoda; Insecta; Orthoptera; Acrididae
Source: the annotation of a RefSeq genome assembly
GUCAGGUUGGCCGAGUGGUUAAGGCGCUAGAUUUAAGAUCUUGUGCGAGUGUGGGUUCGAAUACCACAUCUGACA